This is a long non-coding RNA of Myripristis murdjan (pinecone soldierfish), 489 nucleotides long. RefSeq lists it as uncharacterized. The transcript is spliced from 3 exons. Lineage: Eukaryota; Metazoa; Chordata; Actinopteri; Holocentriformes; Holocentridae. The record is from RefSeq and is a predicted model, not a curated record.
GUUCCUACUAAACAGUCUGCUUCUCGCCUCCCUCUCUGGCCUUUCAUCAUGGAGUGUUUUAUCUGACAACAAACUUGAUGUGAGCCAGUCCCCUGAUGUCGCCACCAUGGAGGGGGAAACUGUCCACAUCGACUGCUGCUGGAAUGUGUACACCAUAAGAGUGACAGUAAACUGGCUUAAAGAGAAAGAGCAUGUUUGGACUGAUAUUGUCCAUAACAACCAAAUUCAGGGAUCUAUACAGAACAAAGAGCGUAACUGUUCAACUUUGACCAUCUCAAAUAUUACAAGAAAUGAUUCCGGUAGAUACAUUUGCAAAAUGUCUGUGAAUAUACCAAAGUUACAGCAGGCCAAAGGAAAUGGCACAAUCAUCACAGUUACAACCAGAAACAAUAACAAGGCUGAUGAACCAACUGAGGUGAAUACUAGUAUGCCUGGACAAUUUACCAUCAUCUUCACUGCAGCUGUUCUGGUACUGCUGGUCCUGAUCAG